GAGCCAAUUCCUCUGUUCCGGUAGAGCCAAUUCCUUUGAAGAAUUGUUUACUUUCUUGUCUUUCCUCCAGUGAACAGAGUGGAAGACCAGGUAUCUUCGUAGUUGGGGACACUGGGCGGGAUCUUUCAGCAGCGAAUUCCCCAUACAGAUAGAGGCGCCUAUCAAAAAGAUACUCCGAAGGCUUCGGGAUCGAGGUCUCAUUAGCCGAAGAAGACCCAGGCCAAUCCACGUGGCCUCUUUGACCAACGUCAGCGACAAAGACGUGUGACACUGGGUCGGGGUUUGGUGAACCAACAGGUCGCUCCUUUAGUUGAAGUAUCGGGCCCCUUUUUCGUUGCCUAGGUUACACCUUCGGAAUACCCCAGACGGGGAUUUCGCUCUACAAUAGUGCAUUUCCCCUUGAUGGUACGAUUUACAUAUCUUCUACCUCUGCUACUUCUGUUCAGGAAGGUUAGUUUAGGCACUCCAUCCCUGAGGGCUGCAUCAGCUUAUCUUUCUAGAAAUCCCAGCUAUAAGCUAGAUCGGUAUAAAUAGGGCAUUAAGCAGCAAUAACAGAGAUAGCAUCCAUGAGUUUUUUAA
RNAcentral lists this long non-coding RNA (579 nucleotides) under Hordeum vulgare. RNAcentral's name for it is "long non-coding RNA (HVUL_LNC002406)". Lineage: Eukaryota; Viridiplantae; Streptophyta; Magnoliopsida; Poales; Poaceae. The record is from RNAcentral.